RNAcentral lists this long non-coding RNA (7982 nucleotides) under Gossypium raimondii (Peruvian cotton). Its description in RNAcentral is "long non-coding RNA (GRAI_LNC003365)". Lineage: Eukaryota; Viridiplantae; Streptophyta; Magnoliopsida; Malvales; Malvaceae. The record is from RNAcentral.
GAAAUUACAUACAAGAUUGCAAUAUGAGAGAGUAAAAAAGAGAUGCGAAUAUAGCCAAAACAAUAGGUGAGGGGAAUUGUUGCGCGGAAGCGUGUAAAAGAGUAAAAUUAUUGUACUAAAAAAUCAUACUAAGUUCAAUUCCCAGGAAAGAGGGGUGGAUCACGAGGAUCGCUUAAGUACCAGAUCUUUCCUAGCCAGAAUAUCCCUCUAUCGUAAUUUAAUAGCACAAUAAAUCACUACAAUCACACUCACAAAAUAUGCAAAAUAAACAAUAAAGAACACAACAAUUUAACGAGGUUCAGCAAAUUUUGCCUACGUCCUCGGGCACUAUCAAAUAUAUUUCACUCUAAAAUACAAGUGAAAGUUUACAAAUAGGGAGAGAGAACAAUUGCCUUAAGUAGAGAAUGGAAAGUGUGGGAUGUUUGAAAUGAGAAAUAAUUAGGCCUAUUUAUAGUUGAAGCUCAAGGAUCAACUUGCAAAGUCCCUAUACAAUUAGGGACCAAAAAUUGCAAUUAUUCCAUGCCAAAUUUCAAACCAAAUUAUUAGUGCCUUAAUUUGUAGGAUUUUUGGUGCCCACCAAUAUCUUUGACUUUUCAAAGAUGGAUGGCUUAGGAUAAUCUCCACCUUGAAGAUUCUAUUAGGAUAAUCUUAUCUUCACACAAUUCUUUCUGCCUUUGACAACAAUACUUGAUAGCGCCUUCUUCAACUGUUAAACUUGCAGAAUAUUGAUCAAGUUCAAACAAUGUUCGAACUUGAUUGUUGUUACCACCUUGGUCAUCAUAUCUGCGGGAUUAUCUGCAGUCUUAAUCUUCUGAAGAUGAAUUUUCCCCUCAUUAAUAAUUUCCCGCACAAAAUGGAAUCGUACGUCGAAAUGCUUUGUACGUGCAUGAUAGACUUGAUUCUUUGCUAAAUGAAUAGCACUUUGAAUAUCACAAUACACAUUAAUAUGCUCCUGAACCAAUCCCAAGGUUUUAACCACACCUUGUAACCAAAUAGCUUCCUUUACAGCCUCUGUUACAGCCAUGUAUUCGGCUUCUGUAGUUGACAACGCAACUGUAGACUGUAGUGUAGACUUCCAACUUAUUGGUCCUCCAGCAAGUGUAAACACAUAACCGGUGGUUGAUCUUCGUUUGUCCAAAUCACCGGCAUAGUCAGAAUCAACGUACCCAAUAACACCUUUACCAAGUGUAGUAUCCUGCUUGAACAGUAAUCCAACAUCCACGGUCUUCAAAAUAUACCGUAGAAUCCAUUUCACAGCUUGCCAAUGUCCUUUUCCAGGAUUAUACAUAUACCUGCUCACUAUACUAACUGCCUGUGAAAUGUCGGGUCUUGUACACACCAUUGCAUACAUCAAGCUACCUACUGCAUUAGCAUACGGAACUUGUAACAUGUGUUCUUGUUCCGUAUUCGUCGAAGGAGAUAGUUGUGCAGAAAGCUUAAAAUGAGAAGCCAACGGGGUACUUACAGAUUUGGUCUGCUCGUUCAUGCCAAACUGCUGUAGUACUUUCUUCAAAUACUGCUUCUGAGACAAGCUAACUCUGUCAUGAGCUCUAUCUCUACAUAUUUCCAUGCCAAGAAUCUUCUUAGCUUCACCUAGAUCUUUCAUUUCAAACUCGAGAUUGAGUUGAGUCUUCAAUCUUUCAAUCUCAACUUUGCUCUUAGAUGCUAUCAGCAUAUCAUCAACAUAUAAGAGCAAGUAUAUGAAAGUUCCUACUUGUAGCUUCUGAAAAUACACGCAAUGAUCAAAUUUACUUCUUGUGUACCUUUGCCCUUUCAUGAACUGAUCAAAUCGCUUGUACCACUGCCUCGGAGAUUGUUUCAAUCCAUAAAGCGACUUCGUCAGUUUGCAAACCCAAUUUUCUUUAUCAGCAACCUUGAAUCCAUCAGGCCGAGUUAUAUAGAUUUCCUCUUCCAAAUCACCGUGUAAAAAAGUUGUCUUCACAUCAAGCUGAACUAGUUCAAGGUCAUAUUGCGCAACCAAGGCUAGCAAAAUUCGAAUAGAUGAAUGCUUCACAACUGGAGAAAACACUUCAUUGUAGUCUAUUCCUUCUUUCUGAGCGUAACCCUUUGCUACCAAUCUAGCCUUGUAUCGAAUUUCAUUUUUACCAGGAAAUUCUUCCUUCUUUGCAUAUACCCAUUUGCAUCCAAUUGCCUUCUUUCCCUUGGGCAGUGUCACCAACUCCCAAGUCUUAUUUUUAUGAAGAGACUGCAUUUCUUCAUUCAUAGCUUGCUUCCACUUUACACCAUCAGGGUUACUUAUUGCUUCUGUGUAAGUAGAAGGAACAUCAUCAUCUGUAAUUGGAAGUGCAUAGGCCACCAUAUCAUCAAAGCGAGCAGGCUUACGCAUCUCUCUUCUUGGCCUCCUAUUUGCAAUUGAAUAUUGUUGCUAUAGAAGUUCUUGGGUUGAAACUUCUUCAUCAUUUGUUUCUUCAAUAUUAGCUGGAUCAUCAUUAACCUUUUCAAGCUCCACCUGCUGCAAAGUACCACUGGUUUUGUCAUCCUUUUGUGAAUCUUUGUUCUUCAUCAUGGUUGAUUCAUCAAAAGUCACAUCUCUACUGAAAACAAUCUUCCUUGUAUCAGGACACCAGAGACGGUAUCCUUUUACUCCACCAGUUAUACCCAUGAAUAAUGCUUUCUUUGCUCUUGGGUCUAACUUAGAUUCUUUUACAUGAUAAUAUGCAGUGGAACCAAAAACAUGUAAAGAAUCAUAAUCAGUAGCAGGUUUACCAGUCCACAUCUCUAUAGGAUUUUUUUCCAUUUAUUGCAGCUGAUGGCAACCGGUUAAUUAGAUGGCAUGCAUAUGUAACUGCCUCAGCCUAAAAUUCAUUGCCCAACCCAGCAUUGGACAACAUACAUCGAACUUUCUCCAGUAUAGUCCGAUUCAUACAUUCUGCCACCCCAUUCUGCUGUGGUGUAUCUCGAACAGUGAAGUGUCGCACAAUGCCCUCAUCUUGACAUACUUGAAGAAAUGGAUCAUUUUUGUACUCAGUACCAUUAUCUGAUCGAAGUCGUUUGACCUUUCGACCAGUCUGAGUCUCCACCAUCUUCUUCCACUUCAGAAAUGCAUCCAAAACUUCAUUUUUUCUUUUCAUUAGAUACACCCAUACUUUUCUUGAAUAAUCAUCAACAAAAGUAACAAAAUAGUGCAUACCUCCCAAAGAAGUCACUUUGGUAGGUCCUCAUACGUCACUGUGAACGUAGUCCAGAAUUCCUUUCGUAUUGUGAAUUGCAGAACCAAAUUUUACCCUCGUCUGCUUGCCCAGAACACAAUGUUCACAGAAUUCCAAUUUGCAAGAAUUUACACCUUUCAUCAAGCCUUGCUUCGCCAAAGUCUGCAAAGCUUUUUCACCAGCAUGUCCUAAUCGCAUAUGCCAUAACCUGGUAGCCUCUGAAUUUGCAUCUUUCACAGAAACUGUUGAUGUUGAUCCAAUAACUAUACUUCCAUUUAAAUAGUACAAGUUAUUUCUUCUAGUGCCUUUCAUCACCGUCAAUACCCCAGCUACUACCUUUAGUAAUCCAUCUCUCAAAGUGACUGUGAGCCCUUUAGAUUCUAAGGCCCUAAUGAGAUGAGAUUUUUCUUCAAGCUAGGUACAUAGCGAACAUCUGUCAGGACUUGGAUUGAGUCAUCGUGAUUCUUCAAUUUGAUUGUACCUACUCCCAUUGUCUUACAGGCACUAUCAUUGCCCAUAAAAAUAACCCCACCUUCUAGUUCUUCAAGACUAGAAAACCAGUCCUUAUUAGGACACAUAUGGUAAGUACAUCCCGAAUCCAAGAUCCACUCAUCCGUGUGACAUGUCAUUGCCAUGCCAACCAAGCUAAAGUCUGACUCCUCAUCAUGCUCCGCUACACAUGCAUUAGAAAUAGUCUUGCCCUUUUGUAACUUAGGACAAUUCUUUUUCCAAUGCCCUUUCUCACGACAAAAAGCACAUUCAUCUUUGGCGGGUCUCCCUUUGGACUUACCCCUUCUACCAGGUUUGUUGCUAUGUGAACGACCUCUUACUGUUAAGACUUCUGUAGUUGUAUCUCUGUGAUCUCUUUUAUCUUUCUUUCGAGUCUCAGAUCUAUACAAUUGUAAUGACCCAAAAUUCACGGGCAUUGGAAAAGUAUAAUAUCGGGCCUCCGUCUUAGUAAAUUAAGUUCAAAAAUAAUUAUUAGAAAUAUUUACUAGACUAGUUGUGUGUUUAAUUAGGAUUUAGAAAGGUGAAUUUAGCCUAGUUAAGAGUAAAUAGCAAAAAGGAUUAAAUUGCAAUAGAAGUGAAAGUUUAAUUAUAGAUUAAAGAAAAUAGUAGGGACUAAAUAGGCAAUUAUGCCAAUUACCAAAGUUGAGGCGGCAUAAGUAUAAAAAUCUGAGAUUUUUAUGUGUUAAAAAAAUAUUAUUAUAUUAUAUUAUAUUAUUAUAACAAAAAGUAAAAGAAAAACAAAUAAAAAUAAAAGAAAGAAACAAAGGAAGAAAAGAAACAGAAUAGAAGAGACGAAACAGAGAAGAAACAGGGGAGAAAGAAAGAAAAAAAGGGAAAACUAGGGAUUUGAAGCUUGAAGUUCAAUAGGUAAGUUAAAUCAAGUCAUAUUCUCAUAAAUUUGAUGUUAUUGGAAUCCUAGAGUGAAAUACUCUUGGAUUUAAGUUGAAAAUUUGAAAGUUAAUAGAUUUUUUAGUAGGAUUUAUGUUGAAUAAAUGAUGGAAUUGAAGGUUUAUUUGAUAGAGUUUCUAGCUAGAUUUGCUAAAAGGAUUAAAUUGUGAACUAAACUAUAAGUUUUGAAUUGUAGGGAUUAAAUUGAGGAAAAUUCGAAAUUAGUGAAAUAUGGUGAAAAAUUUAUAGUUAAAUUUGAGUUUGGAUGAAAUUUAAAUAGAAAUAGAGUGUGAAUUGAAUUAGGAAAGUAAGUGAAUUUAGUUAGGAUUAAAUUAAGAAUAAGAAAGAAAUUGAAUAGAAAUUCAAUUAUUUGUCAUAAUUAGUGCUGUAAUUAAUAGUAUAAAUUAUUAUUAUUUUCAUAGCUAACAAAGAGCCCAAGGCAUCGGCACGAAAAGGAAAAGAGAAGAUUAUCGAGGAGUAAACGCAAGAAAAUCACGGUUUGUAUUACUAUAAUUCAAGUUAUUUAUUAUUAAAUGUUAGAUUUUAAUUUAUGAAGUUGGUAAAUGGAAUGUGAGGUAAGUAGUAUUAUUAUUAUUAUUAUUAUUAUUAUUAUUAUUAUUAUUAUUAUUAUUAUUAUUAUUAUUAUUAUUAUUAUUAUUAUUAGUGUGAAUUAAAUUGAAUAAUUGAUAUGAAUUAAUAUUUGAAUUGCUUGUUUAUUGAAAGCGGAAAGUGAAAUUGAAUCGAAUUCUGACUGAUAUUAAAUUGAAUGGAAAUGUAUUGAGUUGUGAAAAUGUGUGAAUUUGUAAAUUAAUUAUCGAAUGAAAGGUGGAAAAAUGAUUGAAUUGAAAAUGAGAGAAAUUGUGAUUUAAAUACCCUAUUAACUAGUCGGGCUGAGUCGGAUAUAAUUGACAUGCCAUAGGAUUUGGAAGAGUACGGGGUUUAUCGGCUUUGCCGACCAGGCACUUUAUGUGUCGUAUCUCAGGCACUUUAUGUGUCGUAUCAGGCACCUCGUGUGUCGUUUCAGGCACUUAUGUGUCGUAUACUGAUCUGGUACUAUGUACCGUUUUAGGCACAAUGUGUCGUACUGGUGUGUUUGGGUUGGAAUCCGUGUAUCCGUCAAUGUCCAAAUUGUUAAUAGGGUGAAUAAUUAAAAUGCAAAAAUUUAAAAAUUGUGGAUUGAUGUUGAGAUUGAAAAUGAAAGGCAUGACUUUAAUGUCUAUGUAGUGAUUGAAAUUAUUACGUGUGAUAUGUGAUUGAAAUUGAAUAACAGCUAAAAAUUGUAUUGUUAUUGUUAAUUAAUGAAAGUUUAUAAAUUAAUUGAUAUUUAAGAAAUCGAAUAGUUACAUGCUUGGUACUUAUAAUUCUUUAUUUCUAUUAUAAUUUGAAUUAUGGUAAUACCACUGAGUAUGCAAUACUCAGCGUACGGUUGUUUCCGUGCGCAGGUCGAUAGAAGCCAAAGGUCCCGGUUCAGCAUCCAGAUCAAUCCCGACUUCAGCAUAAUUUUGGUGAUGUAUAUUUUCUUUUGGUAAUGUGGCAUGUACAUAUGUUGUGUAUAAAAGUUUAGGUGAUAAAUUAUACAUGGAAAUCAUGAAAGGGUAAAAUUUUACAAAGAAACAGAAUUCAGGCAGCACAGUGACGUGACUUUGAAAAAUCACCUAGGAUAGUAUAUAAUGAUUUAUAAGGCGAAUGAUAUAUGGAAUGAAAGCUUGUUGAGUCUAUUUUCAUGGAAAAAUGACGUUUUAGAGAAAGGAAAUUUAUAUUUUAAGAUAUGUGAAUUUUAGUGAGACAGGGUCAAAACUGUUUUUGGAGUCCCCUGUUAUGAGUUUAGAAAAUCACUGAAAAUUUUACAAAAAUAGUUAUGAAUUUAAAUUUACAUGCUUAGAUUCUUUAAUGAGUCUAUUUUCGGUAGGAACAAGUGGGAACACUAUAUAAAAAUCCUAUAAUGAGAAAUUUUAUUUUUAGUAAUAAGAGGUCAGAACAGUCGAAUGGCGAAACAGGGGAGACUUUAACUAAUAAACUGUACUAAUUAGCUAAACCAAAAAUUCUAAAAAUUUUAUUGUAAGUAGAUAUAUGAGUCUAGUUUCAGGUAAAAUUUACGGAAUUAAAUUUCGAGUCCAGUAGCUCGAGUUAUAAUUAAUUUAGUAACUGCUGAACGAUUGGACAAGUUUGCUUUGAAUAGUGAAACUAAUUUUCAAAGUAAAUUUUUUUAUGUUCCGAAUUAGUAAGAUAAGUUAAGUAAUGAAGUCAAUUGGUAAACAAACUAAUAAAUUUUAUGAUUUAAUUUAAUAUGUUGAUUAUUUAUUUAAGAAUUGUUGUAAAUUGUUUGAUACGUCCGGUAAUGCCUCGUAACCCUGUUCCGGCGACAGUUCGGGGUUAAGGGGUGUUACAACAACGCACUACAGACUGCAUCAAAUGUGAGUGUAUCCUUCCCAUGAAGCAAUGUGGUGGUAAGAUGAUCAUAUUCAUCAGGAAGAGAAUUCAACAACAAUAAUGCCUUGUCUUCAUCUUCAAAUUUCUCAUCCAAAUUUAGCAAGUCUGCUAAAAUUUUAUUGAAUGAGUUCACAUGGUCAUUCAUCGACAUAUCGGGUGCAUACGUGAACCGAAAAAGUUUCUUUUUCAUAUAAAACCUAUUUUCAAGACUUUUCGUUAGAAACUUUUCUUCCAGUGUAUCCCACAACUUCUUCGCUGAUGUCUCCCUCAUGACAGAGUACUUCUGCUCUUUGGCCAAACAUAGGCGGAUUGUACCACAUGCUUGUCUAUUGAUCUUGGCCCACUCCUUGUCAUCCAUCUUAUCAGGUUUUUCUUCAAGGGCUAUAUCCAGCUCUUGCUGACAUAAGACAUCCAGGAUCUCACAUUGCCACAUACCAAAAUUAUUGGUACCAUCAAAUUUCUCUACUUCAAAUUUUGUAUUGAUCACGGUAGUCUUUUUUGAUGACGAUGCCUCUGCCAUUUUUCUCCUCAAUCCCAACUACUGUAUACGUGAACAGUAUCGUCUACGUGAGUGCCGUGGAUGAACAAUACUAUAUACGUAAAUAGUAUCGUAAACGGUUGUAUUCCCCAAGUACGAAUCUAGCUCUGAUACCAAUUGUUACGCGAAAGCGUGUAAAAGAGUAAAAUUAUUGUACUAAAAAAUCACACUAAGUUCAAUUCCCAGGAAAGAGGGGUGGAUCACGAGGAUCGCUUAAGUACCAGAUCUUUCCUAGCCAGAAUAUCCCUUUAUCGUAAUUUAAUGGCACAAUAAAUCACUACAAUCACACUCACAAAAUAUGCAAAAUAAACAAUAAAGAACACAACAAUUUAACGAGGUUCAGCAAAUUUUGCCUACGUCCUCGGGCACUAUCAAAUAUAUUUCACUCUAAAAUACAAGUGAAAGUUUACAAAUAGGGAGAGAGAAUAAUUGCCUUAAGUAGAGAA